AUACGGAGGAUGCAAGCGUUAUCCGGAUUUAUUGGGUUUAAAGGGUGCGUAGGCGGAUGAUUAAGCGUGAGGUGAAAUGCCACUGCUCAACAGUGGAACUGCCUCGCGAACUGGUUGUCUUGAAUGCUCCUGCCGUGGGAGGAAUGUGUGGUGUAGCGGUGAAAUGCAUAGAGAUCACACAGAACACCGAUUGCGAAGGCAGCUAACGAGGGGGUGAUUGAUGCUGAGGCACGAAAGCGUGGGGAUCAAACAGGAUUAGAUACCCUGGUCGUCCACGAAGUAAAGGAUGAUAACUAACCGCUGGGUCGUAGUGAUUCAGUGGCCAAGCGAAAGCAAUAAGUUAUCCACCUGGGGAGUUCGACCGCAAGGUUGAAACUCAAAUGAAUUGGCGGGG
This 394-nucleotide ribosomal RNA is filed under the name uncultured bacterium. RNAcentral's name for it is "partial 16S ribosomal RNA". It matches the Rfam family "Bacterial small subunit ribosomal RNA", at positions 523 to 918 of the family's 1533-position model. The record is from RNAcentral.